Molecule: ribosomal RNA, 254 nt
Filed under: uncultured bacterium
Lineage: Bacteria
Description: partial 16S ribosomal RNA
Rfam family: Bacterial small subunit ribosomal RNA
Source: RNAcentral
UACGUAGGAUCCGAGCGUUAUCCGGAUUUACUGGGCGUAAAGAGUUGCGUAGGUGGCAUAGUAAGUUAAUAGUGAAAUCGUGUGGCUCAACCAUACUCACAUUAUUAAAACUACUAAGCUAGAGAAUGAGAGAGGUACCUGGAAUUCCAAGUGUAGGAGUGAAAUCCGUAGAUAUUUGGAGGAACACCGAUGGCGUAGGCAGGGUACUGGCUCAUUUCUGACACUAAGGCACGAAAGCGUGGGGAGCAAACGGG